GCCCGCCUAGCUCAAUCGGAUAGAGCGUCAGACUUUUAAGCUGACUCAUAGGCUUGGGCAUCUGAAGGCUGCGAGUUCGACCCUCGCGGUGGGCU
This is a transfer RNA of Hebeloma cylindrosporum, 95 nucleotides long. It matches the Rfam family "tRNA". From Rfam's summary of the family: Transfer RNA (tRNA) molecules are approximately 80 nucleotides in length. NCBI's taxonomy places the organism in Eukaryota, Fungi, Basidiomycota, Agaricomycetes, Agaricales, Hymenogastraceae. The record is from Rfam.